CGCACAUUGCGCCCGCCAGCAUUCUGGCGGGCAUGCCUGUUCGAGCGUCAUUUCAACCCUCGACCUCCCUUUGGGGAAGUCGGCGUUGGGGACCGGCAGCACACCGCCGGCCCUGAAAUGGAGUGGCGGCCCGUCCGCGGCGACCUCUGCGUAGUAAACCAACUCGCACCGGAACCCCGACGUGGCCACGCCGUAAAACACCCAACUUCUGAACGUUGACCUCGAAUCAGGUAGGACUACCCGCUGAACUUAA
Molecule: unclassified non-coding RNA, 253 nt
Filed under: Beauveria bassiana
Lineage: Eukaryota; Fungi; Ascomycota; Sordariomycetes; Hypocreales; Cordycipitaceae
Description: partial contains 5.8S ribosomal RNA, internal transcribed spacer 2, and large subunit ribosomal RNA
Source: RNAcentral